AUUGAACGCUGGCGGCAUGCCUUACACAUGCAAGUCGAACGGUAACAGGGAGCUUGCUCCGCUGACGAGUGGCGAACGGGUGAGUAAUAUAUCGGAACGUACCUUUGAGUGGGGGAUAACUAGUCGAAAGAUUAGCUAAUACCGCAUACGAUCUACGGAUGAAAGUGGGGGCUCGUAAGACCUCAUGCUCAUAGAGCGGCCGAUAUCUGAUUAGCUAGUUGGUGAGGUAAAGGCUCACCAAGGCAUCGAUCAGUAGCUGGUCUGAGAGGACGACCAGCCACACUGGGACUGAGACACGGCCCAGACUCCUACGGGAGGCAGCAGUGGGGAAUUUUGGACAAUGGGGGCAACCCUGAUCCAGCAAUGCCGCGUGAGUGAAGAAGGCCUUCGGGUUGUAAAGCUCUUUUGUCAGGGAAGAAACGGGAUGUUCUAAUACAGCGUCCUAAUGACGGUACCUGAAGGAUAAGCACCGGCUAACUACGUGC
Molecule: ribosomal RNA, 485 nt
Filed under: uncultured beta proteobacterium
Lineage: Bacteria; Pseudomonadati; Pseudomonadota; Betaproteobacteria
Description: bacterial SSU rRNA
Rfam family: Bacterial small subunit ribosomal RNA
Source: RNAcentral